Molecule: ribosomal RNA, 586 nt
Filed under: uncultured bacterium
Lineage: Bacteria
Description: partial 16S ribosomal RNA
Rfam family: Bacterial small subunit ribosomal RNA
Source: RNAcentral
UGGGGAAUUUUGGACAAUGGGCGAAAGCCUGAUCCAGCAAUGCCGCGUGUGUGAAGAAGGCCUUCGGGUUGUAAAGCACUUUUGUCCGGAAAGAAAUCCUCUGGGUUAAUACCUCGGGGGGAUGACGGUACCGGAAGAAUAAGCACCGGCUAACUACGUGCCAGCAGCCGCGGUAAUACGUAGGGUGCAAGCGUUAAUCGGAAUUACUGGGCGUAAAGCGUGCGCAGGCGGUUUUGUAAGACGGAUGUGAAAUCCCCGGGCUUAACCUGGGAACUGCAUUCGUGACUGCAAGGCUAGAGUAUGGCAGAGGGGGGUAGAAUUCCACGUGUAGCAGUGAAAUGCGUAGAGAUGUGGAGGAAUACCGAUGGCGAAGGCAGCCCCCUGGGCCAAUACUGACGCUCAUGCACGAAAGCGUGGGGAGCAAACAGGAUUAGAUACCCUGGUAGUCCACGCCCUAAAACGAUGUCAACUAGUUGUUGGGGAUUCAUUUCCUUAGUAACGUAGCUAACGCGUGAAGUUGACCGCCUGGGGAGUACGGCCGCAAGAUUAAAACUUAAAUGAAUUGACGGGGUCAUAGCUGUUUCCU